AGGUGGAGAGGGUCCUGGAGCUUGGAGAAGCAAGGGAAGACUGGCACAAUACAGCAGUUGAGCCUGUUGGGAUGAUGUCCCUCCUUUCCAAGUAGGACUUGAGAAGAAUUAAGGCAGAGAAAGGCGAGGAUGCAGUGGAGGGGGCCUCGGACUUCUCUGAUGGACAAGAGCUGAGCCAGGACCAUGCGGAACCAACUUCUAGGCACAAAGACCAUAAUAGGUGAGAAUGGAGAAGAGGAUUUCAAUUCCUUUCAUCGCUCCAAAUACUGCAGGAGCCAUAGAAAUACCCACCAAGGACUCAUUUGCACUUGGAUGCUUCUGAGGAGAGGGACAGCCAUAUACUUGCCCUCUCUGGAAGGAAACAACACUCACUGAGUUGGAAGAAAACGUCAGGACAUAUAGGAAGCUGGACUGGCACAAACCCCUGGGUCUACACCCUUCCCUUUUUUUUUUUUUUUUUACAGCUCCUUACCAACUGUGCCAGUAAUCACCACAGCUCUCCCCCUUCUCCUCUCAGACUCACCACUUCCUGUUUCCUGUGCUAUGAGCACCCUGAUGCCUACUUUCCCUCCAAGUUCCCCAGUUCUGGCAAUGGACGCAGCCCAUAUCCCCACUUCAGACCUUCCCGGUCUCUCUCACUCUUGGUUUCCCCCUUCUGCAAGCACCAUGGCUGCCUGGGGACUGUGCUAGAGGCUGAUGAAGGGCAUUCCCAAAAUAGCCUCUGUUAGGAAAAAUCUGGUCGGGGAGGUUACUGGGGAGGGGUGCUCAUAGAUAAAGAAUUAACUGCAAAACCAUGUUGUUAAGUACUGUCCUAGAGGCUGGUACAGAUGGUCAUUUUAUUCUUUAAAUUCAUCUUGCAAACAAACACCCUCCCAAUCCCUUCUUGUCCCUUUCCUUCCUGCUUGAGACAGUGUUUUGAGAGAAUGAUGUUUGUUGCUGUGGCAACAAAUGCAUGAAUGAGGACAGGGCAGGAAGUUGGGAAAAGCCUGAUUUGUGAUGGCAGCAUUGAGCCAUUGGGUCAACUCUGAUGUCACCUACCUCCAGGCUUCUUGUUAAGUAGAUAAACACAUCUCCCUAGGGUUUAAGCCAUUGUUGGUUGACUUUUGGUUACUUGGAACCAAAGCACUGUAACUGAUUUUCUUCUAGGUAUGAAUGAAGGAGUUAAGAGUGACUUAGGGACAGACUCAUCACAGUUCUGGUGAUCAGUCUGGGCAGACUCAACUUCUUUGUAGAAAGGGACAGAAAGCCCCAUGGUGGAUGGACCCACUUAACCUGCA
Molecule: long non-coding RNA, 1277 nt
Organism: Neofelis nebulosa (Clouded leopard)
Lineage: Eukaryota; Metazoa; Chordata; Mammalia; Carnivora; Felidae
Exons: 3
Source: RefSeq, a predicted model, not a curated record